This 254-nucleotide ribosomal RNA is filed under the name uncultured bacterium. RNAcentral describes it as "partial 16S ribosomal RNA". It matches the Rfam family "Bacterial small subunit ribosomal RNA", at positions 524 to 776 of the family's 1533-position model. The record is from RNAcentral.
UACGUAGGGUCCGAGCGUUGUCCGGAAUUAUUGGGCGUAAAGAGCUCGUAGGCGGUUCAGUAAGUCAGGUGUGAAAGCUCCGAGCUCAACUCGGAGAGGCCACCUGAUACUGCUGUGACUAGAAUCCAGUAGGGGAGUGUGGAACUCCUGGUGUAGCGGUGAAAUGCGCAGAUAUCAGGAAGAACACCAGCGGCGAAGGCGGCGUUCUGGACUGCAACUGACACUGAGGAACGAAAGCCAGGGGAGCAAACGGG